RNAcentral lists this ribosomal RNA (468 nucleotides) under uncultured bacterium. RNAcentral's name for it is "partial 16S ribosomal RNA". It matches the Rfam family "Bacterial small subunit ribosomal RNA", at positions 28 to 507 of the family's 1533-position model. The record is from RNAcentral.
GACGAACGCUGGCGGCGUGCUUAAUACAUGCAAGUCGAACGGAAAGGCCCUGCUUUUGUGGGGUGCUCGAGUGGCGAACGGGUGAGUAACACGUGAGUAACCCGCCCCUGACUUUGGGAUAACUUCAGGAAACUGGGGCUAAUACCGGAUAGGAGCUCUUGCUGCACGGUGGGGGUUGGAAAGUUUCGGCGGUUGGGGAUGGACUCGCGGCUUAUCAGCUUGUUGGUGGGGUAGGGGCUUACCAAGGCUUUGAAGGGUAGCCGGCCUGAGAGGGUGACCGGCCACAAUGGUACUGCGAUACGGCCCAGAAUCCUACGGGAGGCAGCAGUGGGGAAUAUUGCACAAUGGGCGGAAGCCUGAUGCAGCAACGCCGCGUGCGGGAUGACGGCCUUCGGGUUGUAAACCGCUUUCGCCUGUGACGAAGCGUGAGUGACGGUAAUGGGUAAAGAAGCACCGGCUAACUACGUG